Molecule: RNA transcript, 4630 nt
Organism: Dreissena polymorpha
Lineage: Eukaryota; Metazoa; Mollusca; Bivalvia; Myida; Dreissenidae
Exons: 9
Source: RefSeq, a predicted model, not a curated record
CAUAAAUAGGUCAUAGUCAUUAUUAAUUUCUAAAAAUAAAACCAGCGCAGAUAUGUCAACUGUGGUGAACGCGAUUUGCGCAAUUUUCUGUUUUACCAGAUAUGUUGAAUACAAUUUUGUAAAUUUGCCAUUUUUUGUAAGGUGAUUGUUGAUUGGAUUUGUUUUUGAAAAUCACACGCAAACCGACACAUGUGAUAAAUCAGUACAGUUUAGGGUAAAUCUCCAUUGAUGAUGCCUCCUAAAGCGAGUAAAUCCACAUGCAAACGCGGCCAAAAAAACGAUAUCUACCUUCUGUAUGACGAAGACGACAGCAGUCGUGUUAUGGAAUUUGCAGAGCAAUUCAGACAGUUUUACAAAGUGUUUGAUCCUCACACAGAUGGUGUACCAGGGGAAAGUAAACUUUGGUCGUGGUUAGAAAAGGGCAUAUACAACUCGAAGAUGACAGUCGUAUUCUUUUCAAAGAAAUCUAUAACAAAAGAAGCGUACAUUCAGCUGUCUCAUGCGAUAAGAGAACACAGAAUCAUCGCUAUAAUGGUGCAGUCGUGUAAAAUUCCAAAGAUCUUAGGACAUUUUAAUAUUGUCUAUGCCUACCAUACGGACAGCUUCGAUCUCACAUUGAAUCACAUACGGCAAGCGAUAGAAGCGCCAAAAGAAACGUUUAAGCGUCUGGAUUUUCCGUAUCACAAUCCUGGAAAAGUUACACAAACUGUAGUUGGUAUACCAAAGUUCGAAAACCGGACGCUCCAAGAAACCCCCAGAAAAACAACAAAAAUCACUGUUCUGGAUGUUAUCUUGAAUGCACACAUUGUUUGCAAUGUUUUUAACAAUUUCACUCUUCGAUGCGACAAACCAGAGUGCACAUUUAAAUGCAGAGCGAACAAUUUUCAAGAGGUUCAUGCGCACACCAGAUCGUGUAAAUUUGAAUGGGUGCAAUGUAGCUAUUGUAAGCAAAAAGUGUUUCGAAAGAAUAUGCAAAAGCACGAGCAAAGAAAAUGUCGGUUUCGGAGAUUAAAAUGUUCCAACGAAGGCUGCGUCUAUCUGACCUCUUUAUGCGAUGUCGAGUCACAUAAACGGUCAUGCGUUUAUCAGUUGGUCAAUUGUCGAAACAGUAUUAACGGAUGCAAAGCAGUUCACCUGAAAAAAGAUGCAAACCAACACAAACGAAAGUGUGACUAUGAGACACUUAUGUGCAAUUUGUGCAAACUGUUUAAGCUUGAUUUUGACAGUCAUCACUGUCAAAACAGUGACAAACGAACUUAUAUAUUUUCAUGUGAAAAUACUGGAUGCAUAUAUGAAGGAUCUGCGAACGACAUGAUAGGACACAAUCUUGUUUGUGAAUUUCGGAAGCAAACAUGUCGCCACUGUUCCAGAUUGAUACCUGUAGGGAUGUUAACUGCACACACACAAGAGUGCUCUGAUCUUACAUCAUGUCAUCAAUGCGGCGUAACGAUACCGAGGUAUUUACUUGAACGUCAUCGACAGAUAUCAUGCGGUGUUGGUGCCAUGACAACAGUAUGCGACACGUGCUAUUCUAUUGUUGAUGAGGUCUCUAUGAAAACGCACACAAAUAAUGACUGCAUCAAUUACAAAAGACAUUUUUCCAUGCAAAACACAGCACCGAAUGCCAAUACAAACGCGAAAGAGCCAAAGCAUCAGAGCGAAGAGGUUUCUCAGCUGGUACCGAUUGUACGCAGGAAACAGAGAGGAAGUAUCGGGAAUCCCCUGACGUCAUUCAAUAAAGAAAUGUGUUCGCAUGCGUUUGCUACGGGUCUUUUUAUAAGUUGGGCGGAAUUUCCAGAGGAUCUCCGUAAAAAGCUCUUUAACAUGUUUAAAGUGAUCGACAUGGAAAAUCUCUAUGUGGACAUAUUUGUAUUCGACCAAACACCAUUUUGAAAUUGGGUCAACUUUUUAUUAGGGCUGGUACCGAAAUACUGCUGGAUAAAUGGAAGACGGUUAUCAACCAUUAUGCGCCUGCGUGGGCGUGAUAGCUGCGGCAACUCGGAUAAUAGCAAAGUCAGCAGUCAUUACGUUAACUUCGAAGACCACCAGAAACUUGGGAUAAUGACACCCGAACGUCGGGACUGGUUCAACAGCAUUGGCAAUCCUGCCUCGCCCUGUUCAUCUGAAAGCGGCGACAGUCUGCCUUCGCCGUUUUACACUGAGGGCUUGUGUCAUUCAUCUUCGUGGUAUAACCUUACCUAAGGUUAUUUCAACGACAGUCCUUCUCAGAAUAGACAGUACACUGAUCUAUGUCCAGGAAUAAUAUCGAAUACAAUACCGUUAUUAUGACUGUAGACGUUUCCAAUUAGGAAUCGAUGAAAUGACGCCAAUAUAAAUUACGGGUAUGACAUCAUUACAAAGGACCUGUUUGCAGAUUGUUAUACUUUUGAAAAAAAAAGUAUAAAGGAAUUCAUUAUUAACGGUAUGCCUGUAGAUGAGCUCCAAAAGGAAGGCGCACACAAUGUUGUAAUCAUUGAGCAUUAAAGAAGUGGUAUGUAUCGAUCAUAACAUAGGUUUUUAAUGCUAUCUAUUGUAUUUGUUGUAAAAAAUGACUCGACAAACAUUCAAUUAAUAUUUGUUAUGAAAAAACGUGAUAAAAAUGCAAAAAAAAUGGGAAGAAGUUAUGUCAGUCCUUGGUCAGAAGUUACGGUCAGACUUAAGGCCAAAGGUCAAACAUGUGCAUGUCUAAACUUUUUAAAUAAUAAACAAAUAUAAUGAUCAUACGCUUGACGUGUUGCCGACAUGCAUCAAAUGUCGUCAAGUGUUUCGCAAUAUUUUGAUUUAUGGAAAUACACAUAUAACAUCAGUAAUAUCUACAAUGACGUCAUCAGUCAGGUUUGAAAUAUUGCAUGACCAAAUUUAAUUAAUAGUUUAACAAUAUUAAGUAAAAUCUUAUGAAGCGGCGGAACGGGUCUGUUCGUAGCCGAAAAAAAAUUGACGUAAUAUUAUCGAACUCACUAAGACUAUAACCGACGUUUGUAUUAAUAAAACAAGUGUUUAAUUAAAGGAUGAAACUGUGCAUUGCUUGAUUUAUUUGAAUUCUUAAAGUGCAAAUACUUACCACGUGAACUGAUCCAUAACACUAUCGUCCGACUUCAAUCUUUUACCAUUACUUAUAAAUUGUGUAAUGCAUAUAUAAUGUAGGGUAUGUAUAAGCUUUACUGCUGAAUAAAAAUGUUGUUGGUGUAUUGAUCAGGCAUUUGUAUUUCACUAGAACAUUUGUACUGUUGAUUUUACUAGAACAUCUGUACAGUUGAUUUCUAAAUGUAAUAAUGAUUUCACGUACUUUUUAGAAGGUCUAGUUAAAAAAUACAAAUGCCAAAAACACUGAACGUUAUUAUCAUGCCCUUAAUGAUUAAGUGCUUUACCCAAAGUGUGCAACCUAGCCAUUUAAUUUGAUCAAAAUGAAGGUUAUAGUUUAAUACAGUUAUAGCUGUUUACCGGGUACUGAAUAAGAGAUGUUACUUAUUGAUGAACAACUACUGCAAAGUGAAAAUUGUACAGUGUGGAUGAACAUUAUUGUCCCUUGACAAUUGUAUAUAGAUAAAUAUUUCUGGAAAAGACCAACAUGAUGAAAUUUAUUGGUGUGAUGCAAUCUGAUAAUACAAGUACCAACAUAAACUUUGUAAUGGAUGUAACACCAUAUACUUUUUAACAUAUAACUUAUAUACUGCAUUUUAUUGGAAUGUUUAUUUUAAUUCAAUGUUAUUUUUUUAAUGAGCUAACAUCUGAUACUACUGUGCUUCUUGUAUUGUUAAUUGUUUAUCGUUUUGUCAUCAGCUUAUAUUUUUAAUUCAAACUUGCAUUGUAUGACAUAAUUACAGAAUACUUCAGGGCACUGCCGUUGACACAGUUCACAAAGUAUCGAUGCAUUCCUUUAUUCAUAUACGCAAUCAUAAAUUAAAACUUUUAUUGAUAAAAAUAUAACCUAACUGAUUCAUCACAUCUUAAAGCCUCAUGACUACUCAAAAUCAACAAAAAAUUCGUACACUAUUUUGUAAAUUAAAGUCAAACAAUAAACAAAUCAGUGUUCCUUAUGGCGAUUGCCGAAAUUUCAACGCCAGAUGUGGUCUGGUAACAUAGAUGUUUGUAGAUACAAAAUGCUCGUUUUUAUUUAUGUAUUGCCUAUUUAAUUCCAUUUUAAUUUCACAGUUUAGUGUUCGUGUGUCGUAUGCAUAGAUGUUCCCGGGAAAUGAAAAUGGAAUUUAUUGUGUCACAAAUAAAUAAAAACGAGCAUUUUGUAUCUGCACAAAUCUAUGUAAUUAUACCACAUAUUGCGUUGAAAUUGUGGCGAUAUGCUAUAAGGAACACUGAUUGUUUAGGUGUUAACUUUAUUUUACGAAAUACUUAACGACAUUUUCGUUGAUUUUGAGUAGUAAUGGGGCUUUAAGCUUACAUGUGUGUUGUUGCUAGUUUGUAUAAAUCUGAGUCUCGGUUAGUUACACACUAUAAAAAAUUGUGUGCAAUGUGUUGUGUUUUAAAUGGUAAUUAAUAUUAUAUUAAUAUUACAAAAUUACUUCGAAAAAUUACGAAGAAAAAAACAUACAGAAAAUUAUUUUCCAUUAAUUGCGGAGUUAUUUUUUAUUGUGAAUGAAAAUAUUUUAAAUAUUAAUAAUAGUUGAAAUAAAUU